UACGGAGGGGGCUAGCGUUGUUCGGAAUUACUGGGCGUAAAGCGCACGUAGGCGGCUUUUUAAGUCAGAGGUGAAAGCCCGGAGCUCAACUCCGGAAUUGCCUUUGAGACUGGAUGGCUUGAAUCACGGAGAGGUGGGUGGAAUUCCGAGUGUAGAGGUGAAAUUCGUAGAUAUUCGGAAGAACACCAGUGGCGAAGGCGACUCACUGGACACAUAUUGACGCUGAGGUGCGAAAGCGUGGGGAGCAAACAGG
This 253-nucleotide ribosomal RNA is filed under the name uncultured Sphingomonadaceae bacterium. RNAcentral's name for it is "partial 16S ribosomal RNA". It matches the Rfam family "Bacterial small subunit ribosomal RNA", at positions 524 to 776 of the family's 1533-position model. The record is from RNAcentral. Lineage: Bacteria; Pseudomonadati; Pseudomonadota; Alphaproteobacteria; Sphingomonadales; Sphingomonadaceae.